This 26-nucleotide non-coding RNA is filed under the name Rattus norvegicus (Norway rat). Lineage: Eukaryota; Metazoa; Chordata; Mammalia; Rodentia; Muridae. The record is from RNAcentral.
UGACAGCAUACUUUCGAUAGUUCUGU